Molecule: ribosomal RNA, 247 nt
Filed under: uncultured Methylobacterium sp.
Lineage: Bacteria; Pseudomonadati; Pseudomonadota; Alphaproteobacteria; Hyphomicrobiales; Methylobacteriaceae
Description: partial 16S ribosomal RNA
Rfam family: Bacterial small subunit ribosomal RNA (bases 1-181)
Source: RNAcentral
CCUACGGGAGGCAGCAGUGGGGAAUAUUGGACAAUGGGCGCAAGCCUGAUCCAGCCAUGCCGCGUGAGUGAUGAAGGCCUUAGGGUUGUAAAGCUCUUUUAUCCGGGACGAUAAUGACGGUACCGGAGGAAUAAGCCCCGGCUAACUUCGUGCCAGCAGCCGCACAUCCUACGGGAGGCAGCAGUCAGGAAUAUUGCGCAAUGGAAGGAAACUCUGACGCAGCGACGCCGCGUGGGUGAUGAGGUCG